AACUGCGGCUUUGCUUGCAGACUACAUAAGACAAUAAAAGCAGCAACGGGUUAUGACUUUCAUAUUUGAGAACAAUUUGUUAAGAAGUCAGUAUCUUCGUUUACUUCUCACUAAAUCAAAAUAUCAAACAGAGAACAAACCAAAACUAACUCAAGAGCAUCCCCUACUCUUCCAAACAUCAAUUCAACUAAAUACCAGCGUCCAUGUGAAUCUGUUUAAUUUUCUACUGAAUACUCAUCAAAGACCAACUAACAUGUUAAUACCCAUUGGGAACUAUCUGAAGUGUCUCUAAUCUUGCCUAUGAAGACUAAUCACAAUGAUUGUACGAGUUAAGAAACAAAGAUUGUCAGUCUCAGAAGUAUAGCAUCUAUAGAAUUUAACCUGCCUAUGCUCGAGAGAAUGCUGCACGAAUGGCGUUUUAACACUAGUCUCUUAUACGGUGUAUCAAUACAAGUGCUACAGAAAUGUUAACAAGAAUCACAUUCUUUUGUAAAAUGCCAAACCUUGAGCUCAGGGGAAGCAGGGUG
Molecule: long non-coding RNA, 527 nt
Organism: Arabidopsis thaliana (thale cress)
Lineage: Eukaryota; Viridiplantae; Streptophyta; Magnoliopsida; Brassicales; Brassicaceae
Product: other RNA
Exons: 1
Source: RefSeq